RNAcentral lists this transfer RNA (30 nucleotides) under Agalinis decemloba. RNAcentral's name for it is "partial tRNA-His". Lineage: Eukaryota; Viridiplantae; Streptophyta; Magnoliopsida; Lamiales; Orobanchaceae. The record is from RNAcentral.
GGCGGAUGUAKCCAAGUGGAUCAAGGCAGU